CUCGACUGUCUAAGGAAAAUUCAAGGAGUCUGCUUCACGUCUGCUUGUACAAACAUGUCUCCUAACCUGACACUAAUACAGUAACAAGAGGAGGAAGUACUGUGAGAGGAAUGAUACAUAAUAUUUGAUAGGACAGGAGUGAACACAGAGAAGUGCUAGCCUCACCUUUACUUACUGGACUUUUUCCCAACCUGUGUAUCAGCGAGGAAAAAAAUGAUGCUCUCAAAGAGGUAGAUUAUGGAAUUAUAUCUGGAUGGAGGAGGAGGAACAUCUCAACAAUUUGAAUUCUAUCAAGAAAUUAAUGUAAUUUGACAUCAAUUUUAUGAUUAUUGAAGGGAGACCUGCCAUCUUGUUUGAUAAAAUUAAUAAAAUAUAGACUUCUUUAAGAAGAUAUAUAUGAGAGAUAUUUAUAAUUUUUUCUAAUAUUUUCGUAGUUGUGAUGCAGUUGAUGGAUUACCA
Long non-coding RNA from Hyla sarda, 459 nucleotides. RefSeq lists it as uncharacterized. NCBI's taxonomy places the organism in Eukaryota, Metazoa, Chordata, Amphibia, Anura, Hylidae. The transcript is spliced from 3 exons. The record is from RefSeq and is a predicted model, not a curated record.